Non-coding RNA from Orycteropus afer afer, 435 nucleotides. The record is from the annotation of a RefSeq genome assembly. NCBI's taxonomy places the organism in Eukaryota, Metazoa, Chordata, Mammalia, Tubulidentata, Orycteropodidae.
AUGAGGUUCCCUGCUGAGCUCUUGGGGCUGUUAAUGCUCUGGAUCCCUGCAUCAAGUGGGCAUAUUGUGUUGACCCAGACUCCACACAACCUCCCUGUCACUCUUGGAGAGACGGCCACUAUCUCCUGCAAGUCGAGUCAGAGUCUAGUAUAUAGUGAUGGAAAAACGUAUCUGUCCUGGUACCAGCAGAAGCCAGGAAAAGCUCCACACUUACUGAUCUACCACGUCUCCAACCGAUUCACUGGGGUCCCAGACAGGUUCAGUGGCAGUGGAUCAGUUACAGAUUUCACUCUUAAAAUCAGCAGGGUGGAGGCUGAGGAUGUUGCAGUUUAUUAUUGCCAACAAUCUACACAAUAUCCUCUCACAGUGGUGCAGCCCUGCACAAAAACCUGUGCUUGGUGUGGUCCAGCUGCCCAAAAGCAUGGCUUGACUUAG